GACGAACGCUGGCGGCGUGCUUAACACAUGCAAGUCGAGCGGUAAGGCCCUUUCGGGGGUACACGAGCGGCGAACGGGUGAGUAACACGUGGGUGACCUGCCCUCAGCUCUGGGAUAAGCCUGGGAAACUGGGUCUAAUACUGGAUAUGACUCCACGGUGCAUGGUCGGUAGGGGUGGAAAGCCUUGGUGCGGCUGAGGAUGGGCCCGCGGCCUAUCAGCUUGUUGGUGGGGUGANGGCCUACCAAGGCGACGACGGGUAGCCGGCCUGAGAGGGCGACCGGCCACACUGGGACUGAGACACGGCCCAGACU
This 312-nucleotide ribosomal RNA is filed under the name uncultured bacterium. RNAcentral's name for it is "bacterial SSU rRNA". It matches the Rfam family "Bacterial small subunit ribosomal RNA", at positions 28 to 337 of the family's 1533-position model. The record is from RNAcentral.